CUUUACAUCGGAACGUGCCCUGUAGUGGGGGAUAACUAGUCCCUAGAUUAGCUAAUACCGCAUACGACCUGAGGGUGAAAGUGGGGGACCGCAAGGCCUCAUGCUAUAGGAGCGGCCGAUGUCUGAUUAGCUAGUUGGUGAGGUAAAGGCUCACCAAGGCGACGAUCAGUAGCUGGUCUGAGAGGACGAUCAGCCACACUGGGACUGAGACACGGCCCAGACUCCUACGGGAGGCAGCAGUGGGGAAUUUUGGGCAAUGGGGGCAACCCUGAUCCAGCAAUGCCGCGUGUGUGAAGAAGGCCUUCGGGUUGUAAAGCACUUUUGUCCGGAAAGAAAUCGCACUUACUAAUAUUAGGUGUGGAUGACGGUACCGGAAGAAUAAGGACCGGCUAACUACGUGCCAGCAGCCCCGGUCAA
Molecule: ribosomal RNA, 417 nt
Filed under: uncultured bacterium
Lineage: Bacteria
Description: bacterial SSU rRNA
Rfam family: Bacterial small subunit ribosomal RNA
Source: RNAcentral